GAACGCUGGCGGCAUGCCUAACACAUGCAAGUCGAACGGAAACGAUGGGAGCUUGCUCCCAGGCGUCGAGUGGCGGACGGGUGAGUAACACAUAGGAAUCUGCCCAGUAGCGGGGGACAACUUGGGGAAACUCAAGCUAAUACCGCAUACGCCCUACGGGGGAAAGCAGGGGAUCUUCGGACCUUGCACUAUUGGAUGAGCCUAUGUCAGAUUAGCUUGUUGGUGGGGUAAUGGCCUACCAAGGCGACGAUCUGUAGCUGGUCUGAGAGGACGAUCAGCCACACUGGGACUGAGACACGGCCCAGACUCCUACGGGAGGCAGCAGUGGGGAAUAUUGCACAAUGGGCGAAAGCCUGAUGCAGCAAUGCCGCGUGUGUGAAGAAGGCCUGCGGGUUGUAAAGCACUUUCAGUAGGGAGGAAACAGCAGUGGGCUAAUACCCCAUUGCCUUGACGUUACCUACAGAAGAAGCACCGGCUAACUCUGUGCCAGCAGCCGCGGUAAUACAGAGGGUGCAAGCGUUAAUCGGAAUUACUGGGCGUAAAGCGCGCGUAGGCGGCUUGGUCAGUCGGAUGUGAAAGCCCCGGGCUUAACCUGGGAAUUGCAUUCGAUACUGCCAGGCUAGAAUGUAGUAGAGGGAAGUGGAAUUCCGGGUGUAGCGGUGAAAUGCGUAGAUAUCCGGAGGAACAUCAGUGGCGAAGGCGCGUCUCUGGGCUGCAUCUGACGCUAAAGCGCGAAAGCUGGGGGAGCGAACAGGAUUAGAUACCCUGGUAGUCCCAGCCGUAAACGGUGAGCACUAGGUGUAGGAGGUAUUGACCCCUCCUGUGCCGCAGCUAACGCAUUAAGUGCUCCGCCUGGGGAGUACGACCGCAAGGUUGAAACUCAAAGGAAUUGACGGGGGCCCGCACAAGCGGUGGAGCAUGUGGUUUAAUUCGACGCAACGCGAAGAACCUUACCGGGGCUUGACAUGCACUGGACAGGUGUGGAAACACACUUUCCCUUCGGGGUCGGUGCACAGGUGCUGCAUGGCUGUCGUCAGCUCGUGUCGUGAGAUGUUGGGUUAAGUCCCGCAACGAGCGCAACCCUUGUCCUUAGUUGCUAUCAGAUAAUGCUGAGCACUCUAGGGAGACUGCCGGUGGUGAACCGGAGGAAGGUGGGGAUGACGUCAAGUCCUCAUGGCCCUUACGCCCCGGGCUACACACGUGCUACAAUGGUCGGCACAAAGGGUUGCAAUACCGCAAGGUGGAGCUAAUCCCAGAAAACCGAUCUCAGUUCGGAUUGCAGUCUGCAACUCGACUGCAUGAAGUCGGAAUCGCUAGUAAUCGCGAAUCAGCAGGUCGCGGUGAAUACGUUCCCGGGCCUUGUAC
RNAcentral lists this ribosomal RNA (1365 nucleotides) under metagenome. Its description in RNAcentral is "bacterial SSU rRNA". It matches the Rfam family "Bacterial small subunit ribosomal RNA", at positions 31 to 1386 of the family's 1533-position model. The record is from RNAcentral.